This 244-nucleotide ribosomal RNA is filed under the name uncultured bacterium. RNAcentral's name for it is "partial small subunit ribosomal RNA". It matches the Rfam family "Bacterial small subunit ribosomal RNA", at positions 26 to 285 of the family's 1533-position model. The record is from RNAcentral.
AGGAUCAACGCUGGCGGCGUGCCUAACACAUGCAAGUCGAACGAGAAAGUGGAGCAAUCCAUGAGUAAAGUGGCGCACGGGUGAGUAACACGUGACUAACCUACCCUUGAGUGGGGGAUAACCUAGGGAAACCUGGGCUAAUACCGCAUAAUACCUUCGGGUCAAAGGAGCAAUUCGCUUAAGGAGGGGGUCGCGGCAGAUUAGUUAGUUGGCGGGGUAAUGGCCACCAAGACGAUGAUCUGUA